AAAAAAAAUCAGACCGCAUCUCCGCCCCCAAAUCCACGCCCAAUCCCCUCCACCAGACCGCCGCCGCCGCCAAACCUUCCCACGGCCGCCGCGCGCUGCCGCUCCAAAUCUUCCCACCACCGUCGCGCGCUGCCGCAUCCAAAGCUUCCCACCGCCGCUGCGUGGCCGCCUUCCACUCAGUCCACCACCGGCGUAGCCCCUCACCACCGCAACCCCUCUAUCGCCCACAAAUCGAGACCCUCCACAGGACUGCAAGGCCUUCGCCCCCAACCAUCCCACCACCGACGGCAGCUCUCCAAAUGAGCACUUCCGCCUUCGCCCUCCAUCACGGCAGCCCCUCCGCCCCUCCACCGCCCCCAACAACCAACCCACUGCUGCCGACCACUACUGUCGUCGCCCCACUCCAUAGCGGCGCCGCCGAGCACCCGAUUGACACGGAGCAGCACCGUCAUCGCCGAGCCACCCCACCGGCGGCCACCAUCCUCGCCACCAACCUACUCGCACACUUACUCCUCGAGCAGGCCUCCCCGGAAGUUUCACCGAGCACCAAGCCGCGGAUCCGCCUCCUCCACACGCGCCCCCGAAGCAGCAGGUCGUCGACCCUCUCCUCAACAUCCUUUCCGUGGACUUCACUGCCUCCUAUACUUCAUUUGACAGGCAAUCUUAGUGAAAUUGGUCAAGAAUGGACAAGAGUUGGAUGGGGAUUACGAUGAGAUGCUCAAUCUUAGUGACCAUGAUGAGGUUCAACCUGAUGAUGUUCAAGAGGAGAUCGACCUAGAUGAUUACGAUGAGAUGCUCGAGUUCUUAGGUCCCAAACGACUAGAGAUGUUGAUGACAUGCCAAGUGACAGCAUUGAAGAGCAUGAAGUUGGAAGUGGACAAGUCCAUGACGAAAGCAGGAAUGCGACCACAAGCAAGCUGAGAGAAACCAAUAACCAAUGGCCUGCCCCUACCUAUUUGUACAGAGGUUUGCCUAUUUGUACUACUGUACUAUGUAUAGUACAGAGCUUUGCCUACUUGUAUACUACUGCACUGUUUAUAGUACAGAGUUUUGCCUAUUUGUACACAGUUUUAACUAUUUGUUCAAUAUAGUACUGUAUAGAGUUUUGCCUAUUUGUCGAGUUUAACUCAUGCAAAAAAAGAUUCGAACUCAGAGUACUAUAUUAACUCCAGAGAUACAUGUUUAACUCAGGUUUAAUUAGGCAUAGCUUUCACUAGUAAGUUGUAUUUUUUAGACUAAGCAUCUUUUGCAAGUUCAUUGUACAGGUUUUUGUUUUGCUUAUUUGCACAUGAAGAUUUGUGUAUGUGUACUUCAAACAAAUCUUGCUUGAUCUAAUGAUGUAACCUUGCUUGCUGUGAUGAUGAGAUGCUGCACAUUUAGAAGAGUUAUAUUUAUGCCGACGAGUUAAAAACUGAAGCAUGUCAAAAUCUUUAAUGUGCUAAUUUGAAAUCUGAAAGGAGAGCUCCAUUUUGAGUUUUCUAUUUGUUG
Molecule: non-coding RNA, 1488 nt
Organism: Triticum urartu
Lineage: Eukaryota; Viridiplantae; Streptophyta; Magnoliopsida; Poales; Poaceae
Source: RefSeq, a predicted model, not a curated record